Drosophila innubila is the source of this 218-nucleotide long non-coding RNA. RefSeq lists it as uncharacterized. The record is from RefSeq and is a predicted model, not a curated record. NCBI's taxonomy places the organism in Eukaryota, Metazoa, Arthropoda, Insecta, Diptera, Drosophilidae. The transcript is spliced from 3 exons.
CGGGUAUAAAAAUAUCAAAGACCUCUGUGUAAUGAGCGCAUCUAACAUACUGUUAGCAAAUAAUAAAAACGGUCGACAGAAUCACAAACCGGAACGGAACGUGGAAUUGAAAAUAAGGUCGAAGAUAGACAGAAAGGUUAGGUUAGACAGGAAACAAAGAAAUUUAUAAGAUAAUAAUGGUUGACGCAAAGCAAAACAAUUAACAGAAUGUAAAAAGA